RNAcentral lists this ribosomal RNA (1097 nucleotides) under uncultured phototrophic eukaryote. RNAcentral describes it as "bacterial SSU rRNA". It matches the Rfam family "Bacterial small subunit ribosomal RNA", at positions 97 to 1232 of the family's 1533-position model. The record is from RNAcentral.
GGCAGACGGGUGAGUAACAUGUAGGUAUCUGCCCUUUGGCCUGGAAUAACACGAGGAAACUUGUGCUAAUACCGGAUAAGUCUUUACGGAGAAAGCUUUAUGCACCAUUGGAUGAGCCUGCACUUGAUUAGUUUGUUGGUGGGGUAAUGGCCUACCAAGACUGUGAUCAAUAGCUGAUUUGAGAGGAUGAACAGCCACAUUGGAACUGAGACACGGUCCAAACUCCUACGGGAGGCAGCAGUGGGGAAUUUUCCGCAAUGGACGAAAGUCUGACGGAGCGACGCUGCGUGAAGGAUGACGGCCUGCGGGUUGUAAACUUCUUUUCUCGAAGAAGAAGCUCUGACGGUAUUCGAGGAAUAAGCAUCGGCUAACUCCGUGCCAGCAGCCGCGGUAAGACGGAGGAUGCAAGUGUUAUUCGGAAUGAUUGGGCGUAAAGCGUCUGUAGGCUGUAUAGAAAGUCUUUUGUUAAAUACCUCGGCUCAACCGAGAUCCAGCAAAGGAAACUUCUAUACUUGAGGUAAGUAGAGGUACAGGGAAUUCCCGGUGGAGCGGUGAAAUGCGUAGAUAUCGGGGGGAACACCAAUAUGGCGAAGGCACUGUACUGGGCUUUACCUGACGCUCAGAGACGAAAGCUAAAGGAGUGAUUAGGAUUAGAUACCCUAGUAAUUUUAGCCGUAAACGAUGAAAACUCACUGCCGAGCGAAAUACAACGAGCGGUGGUCAAGCUAACGCGUGAAGUUUUCCGCCUGGGGAUUACGCUUGCAAAAGUGAAACUCAAAGGAAUUGACGGGGACCCGCACAAGCGGUGGAGUAUGUGGUUUAAUUCGAUGCAACACGAAGAACCUUACCAGGGUUUGAAAUCAUUUCAAAACUCCUUGAAAGAGGAGCCUCCUUCGGGAUGGAAUGACAGGUGGUGCAUGGCUGUCGUCAGCUCGUGUUGUGAAAUGUCGAGUUAAGUCUCGUAACGAGCGCAACCCAUGUCUCUUGUUGCUCAUUGAGUGCUUAAGAGAGACUGCCGACCAACAUCGGAGGAAGGUGGUGGAUGAUGUCAAGUCAGCCAUGCCCCUUACAUCCUGGGCUACACACGUACUACAAUG